UGCUACUACUGUUACAUGCUUUAGCUCAUGU
RNAcentral lists this non-coding RNA (31 nucleotides) under Mus musculus (house mouse). The record is from RNAcentral. Lineage: Eukaryota; Metazoa; Chordata; Mammalia; Rodentia; Muridae.